AGGUUCUUUUGCAAUUCCGUGUGACAAAUCCUAUUUAAAUUAAAAAGAGCAUGAGUGUUUUACAUUAUAAUAAAGUGAUAAAAAAAAUUAUCUAUUUUUUACUUGUAAAGGAGGCAAAACAUGGUUCAAACAUUCAAGUUUGCUUAUGCUAUGAUCCUUGUUCUUUAUCUAUUUUUUGUAGUAACCAACAUUAGCGCAUUAAGUGCUCCGUGCAAAGACGUCUUCGAUUGUUUUCCAUUUUGUCCAUAUCCUCUAGUUGAAGUGUGCGAAAAUGAAGUUUGUGUCUGCAAAGAGAUUGAAUCAAUCGAUCCUAUGAGAAAGAGAUCAAAUCAAUGACAUACACAUUAAUUGUCCAUGUAAAAAAGAAUAAACAAGUCAUUCUGAAGAGAUCAUGAAACUCAUCAAAAAUCACGUCGGAAUCACUAAACAAUGGAGUCUAGCAAUGGUUUGGAUUGUGUGGAGCAAUUGAUAGGUGUUUAUUUUUUACGUGUAGUGUUAGAGAAUAGUAUGCUAAAAAGAUUUUAUUUAGAUUCAUAUUCAAAUAUAUUUAAAAUUUAUAUUAAAAUUUAUAUUAAAAUA
Cicer arietinum (chickpea) is the source of this 579-nucleotide long non-coding RNA. RefSeq lists it as uncharacterized. The record is from RefSeq and is a predicted model, not a curated record. Lineage: Eukaryota; Viridiplantae; Streptophyta; Magnoliopsida; Fabales; Fabaceae.